ACCGCUGUUACUACAGGGGUGCAUUUCAUGCUGGGCCCAGCGUUAGUGGAUGCACACCGGAGACCCUCUUAGAUACAGAAACCAUGACCGUCAAAGGGCGUGUGUUAAGGGACUGGAGAGUGACGUUUAUCGAGCACUUCCUGUAAGAAAACUUUUGAAAGUUGGAAGACAGUAUUGUUCAUUUCUUCAAGAUGCUGCUUAUUCAAUCACCACAUUUUUACCAGUGCUGAAGGAGGGCAAGAAUUGUGCUGGGUGCUGAGGAUUCAGUGGUGAACACUUGAACCAGACAAAUAAAGGGCAAUCAAAAUAACUGUUAAAUGCUAA
Molecule: long non-coding RNA, 324 nt
Organism: Bubalus bubalis (water buffalo)
Lineage: Eukaryota; Metazoa; Chordata; Mammalia; Artiodactyla; Bovidae
Exons: 2
Source: RefSeq, a predicted model, not a curated record